UAGGGAAUCUUCGGCAAUGGGGGCAACCCUGACCGAGCAACGCCGCGUGAGUGAAGAAGGUUUUCGGAUCGUAAAGCUCUGUUGUAAGAGAAGAACGUGUGUGAGAGUGGAAAAUUCACACAGUGACGGUAACUUACCAGAAAGGGACGGCUAACUACGUGCAG
Molecule: ribosomal RNA, 164 nt
Filed under: uncultured bacterium
Lineage: Bacteria
Description: partial 16S rRNA
Rfam family: Bacterial small subunit ribosomal RNA
Source: RNAcentral